RNAcentral lists this ribosomal RNA (253 nucleotides) under uncultured bacterium. RNAcentral describes it as "partial 16S ribosomal RNA". It matches the Rfam family "Bacterial small subunit ribosomal RNA", at positions 524 to 776 of the family's 1533-position model. The record is from RNAcentral.
UACGAAGGGUGCAAACGUUGCUCGGAAUUAUUGGGCGUAAAGCGCACGUAGGCGGCCUAUCAAGUCGGAUGUGAAAUCCCUCGGCUCAACCAAGGAAGUGCAUCCGAAACUGGCAGGCUUGAGUACUUAAGAGGAUCGCGGAAUUCCCGGUGUAGAGGUGAAAUUCGUAGAUAUCGGGAAGAACACCCGUGGCGAAGGCGGCUCUCUGGGACGGUACUGACGCUGAGACGCGAAAGCGUGGGGAGCGAACAGG